GGGGGGGGGGGGGGGGGGGGCGGGGGGGGGCAGGGCGGGCGAGCGGAUGAGGAGCUUGCUCCUCUGACGUUAGCGGCGGACGGGUGAGUAACACGUGGCUAACCUACCUAUAGGACUGGGAUAACUACGGGAACCCGGAGCUAAUACCGGAUAAUAUAUUGAACCGCAUGGUUCAAUAGUGAAAGACGGUUUUGCUGUCACUUAUAGAUGGACCCGCGCCGCAUUAGCUAGUUGGUAAGGUAACGGCUUACCAAGGCAACGAUGCGUAGCCGACCUGAGAGGGUGAUCGGCCACACUGGAACUGAGACACGGUCCAGACUCCUACGGGAGGCAGCAGUAGGGAAUCUUCCGCAAUGGGCGAAAGCCUGACGGAGCAACGCCGCGUGAGUGAUGAAGGUCUUCGGAUCGUAAAACUCUGUUAUCAGGGAAGAACAAAUGUGUAAGUAACUAUGCACGUCUUGACGGUACCUAAUCAGAAAGCCACGGCUAACUACGU
Molecule: ribosomal RNA, 496 nt
Filed under: uncultured bacterium
Lineage: Bacteria
Description: partial 16S ribosomal RNA
Rfam family: Bacterial small subunit ribosomal RNA
Source: RNAcentral